CUACUCGGGUUUCUAAUCCUGUUCGCUCCCCAUGCUUUCGCUCCUCAGCGUCAGUUGCGGCCCAGUGACCUGCCUUCGCCAUCGGUGUUCCUCCUGAUAUCUGCGCAUUCCACCGCUACACCAGGAAUUCCAGUCACCCCUACCGCACUCUAGUCUGCCCGUACCCACUGCAAGCCCAAGGUUGAGCCUUAGGUUUUCACAGCAGACGCGACAAACCGCCUACGAGCUCUUUACGCCCAAUAAUUCCGGACAACGCUUGCGCCCUACGUAUUACCGCGGCUGCUGGCAC
RNAcentral lists this ribosomal RNA (289 nucleotides) under uncultured Cellulomonas sp. RNAcentral's name for it is "partial 16S ribosomal RNA". Lineage: Bacteria; Bacillati; Actinomycetota; Actinomycetes; Micrococcales; Cellulomonadaceae. The record is from RNAcentral.